GGGACGCUUCCCGCCUUUUCUUUCUCUUCAAGUCAUCUUUCCCCUGAAAUGGCUCCUGGGCGAGUGCGAUGGAAAGAAAACGGACAUAUCCGUCUAGGGAGCAAAAAGACAACAACACAAAUGAACAAUCUUCUUCAAGGUAACAGUUUAAAAUAGAUCAAAAAGUUAACUGUUUUUAGACUGUGAAUAUGACCUCCCCCACAUGGCGCACGCGCACCAGGAGUGGGGAACCCUGCCCUCAAGAUAGCAGUUUAAAUAGAUUAACACGUGUAACGACGACGACGGUGGAUAAACGGAUCAAGAAGGCUUUAUGGAAUUGUCUUUUAUUCUUCGGAACCUCAACAGAAACAAAUUCAACUUCCUGAACCCUGGAGGCUUCUGCCAAUACCCAUUGCAGUUUCAAAUAUAAAUUUCACUGAUAUCACAAAGGAUAGAAGCCUUUUAUUUUUAAAAAACAAGAAAAGUUGAAAUCCUCAAGAACACUAAUUCUGCAAAGUUUUUAGGUUUUGGAAACUCUUGGGCAAGUGGACCAACUGUCUCUGAAUCGGGCCGUCUCUUCUUUAACCCUGCCACUGCUGCCCAUUUGCUUCCCCACUUUCAGCCCAAUCCACUCAGCAACUAGGAGGAGGAGUGCAAAGCAAGUUGGGUGUGCUGCUCUAUAUCCUCACUUAAUGUAGUUAGUUGUACACUCAUUGAAGGCAGCAGCAUCAAGGGGCAAAAGCAGCAGAGCCAGAAAGUUCUUGAUCAGCAAACAUCCUCUUCAGGAAUGUGGCCCUUGGCAAGAGCCUGACAAUGCUAACUUGGCCUCCCCAGACUUCUUUAUCCGCACCUGGUAAACAACAACCUAUUGCGUGAGUCUUCUGCAAUUAUACUUCGAAGUUGAGCAUAUAUAACACAGCAGACUGAGUGAAUUGCUUUGGAAGGAAACUGGGUUUUGUACAGCAAACUGACACCUGCCAUUUUUACAAGAUAUCAGUUCGAUUUGAGGAGUUCUACAGGUGGAACUAUGGGACGCAGGUGGCGUUGUGGUCCAAACCACAGAGCCUAGGGCUUGCCGAUCAGAAGAAGUGCUGCCACAACUCACAGAAAAAGAACAAUACUGAAAAAGAACUGAGUACUCCCUAUGACACAGCUGCCACAAUCUAGCAAGUUACUUCUUGAUAGGAAGACAGAGACAAACAAGAGAGAGAAAUAUGUAUUGCAGGUAAUUCCUGAAGAAUGGAGACACCCUGUACCUGUACAGAAGAAGUCCCUUUGUGAUAUGCGAAGUGCUCCUAUACAUGCUGAAAUCUGAAGUGUGAUUCUUCUCAAAUCUUUAAUUUCAAAUAAAUACAAAGACCUAAGGCUUUAAAAAGUGGAUGACAUCAUUAAAUAAAGAUCAAGCUAUUUCAUUAUAAAUUCCCCAAAGAGAUAAAUCAUUGUUAGUUUACAGAAAGCAUUUCCUUCCUAAUGUCAAUGUCCUUCAUGGUUUUGCUCCCAUAGGAAAAUUUACUUUGUCCAGGGAAAAAAUGACAAAAUGAAACAGCCUGUUAUUGUGCCUCAGUUUAGCCUUGACCAGCUUUAAAUAUAUCCUCUUAAAUAUGUUGCCCAAACUUCAUCUGCUAUGUUCUUCUACCAAACACUGGAAAGUGCCUUACUGCUCAAACAAGUGGACAUUUAUGUGGCAAACAACUAGACAAGUAUCACAAUAGCAUCCCACAUGUCACAUACAUUUAAAAGAAAAAUGGUACCUUCAUUUAUAUUUAAAAGCAGCUUCAUUUUGGCUGCAAUUGAGCUCUAGCAUGAUGUAACAAGAGGUAUAAUAGCUUAGCAGUUGUAUCAGUGUGGCUUACAAUCUCCAAUUAAUAUACAGCAUUCAUAUUAAUGUUCAUUAAUUGCAUGUACGAAUGCAAAUUUUAAGAAUUUUUGACCAUCAAGCAGGACUCAAACACAACAUCAUUCUCCCACAUAAGAUUCCCUGUAACUGGUAUUCAAAGGCAGAUUGCCUUCAACAAUGGAGGCAGAAAAUACUCAUUGUAGCUAGUAGCCCUUGAUAGCUUUAUCUUCCAUGGAUAUGUCUAACUAGCUUUCAACACCAUCCAAGUUGGUAGCCAUCAUUACCUCUCAAAGUGAAUCCCAUGGUUUUACUACGCACUAUGUGGCGGCGACUGGCAGUGUGUGGUGGAGGCAGGGGGCCAUAGGAGUUUAUUGGGUUUGGCACCAGGAGAGGGAUCCAGUGAUUUAUGGGGUUUGGCACCGCCCAUAAGGUAGAAGCCAGGCCAAAUGGAGGAAGAAGGGUCAGAGUGAUCUGAGACAGAGGGAGGCACACAGGAUGUGUCGGGAGAGGAGGAAGAGAUUGUUCAGGCAAGGGAUGGGCCAACAGACUCCUUGUCAUUCCCCACCCCACUGUUUCCUAGUACCAGCAGGGGUUUGAAGAGGGAACAGCAGUGAUACCUUUUAUGUAGGAGCCGCCUCAGGUUGCACAUACCCCAUCAGAUGAGGGUACAUAAGCGGGGGCAGGGGGGGCAUGGUCUCACUGUUGCUGUAAUUACUCCACAGGCACAGACUUGGAGAAAGCACCUAUAUCCACCACUGCCAUACUUGCUCACAAAUAAAAGCAAUUUUCACCUCUCUAUUCAGAACAGCAGGGAGGGAGGGUUCCAGUCCAAUGAAAUCUGGGCAUAUUUAAGGGGUCAUGUUCAAAUUAGGAGUGGCUGGACCAGUACAAACAGAAUUUGAGAAAGAAAAUGAAACAGUCUCUCAUGCUUCGUGGAUUUUUGAAGGGGUAUUUACUGAGACCUUUUUUGGGUAGGCAAACUGGUGCCUGUCAUUGCCAUGUUGACAGCCCUUGGCUUAGAGAAGAUAUAGGUUCAGUCACCAAGGGGAGGGGAGUGAGAAAACCAGGAGGAACUAAGUUUGCCACCAAGGGUGGAGUGCAAAAGAGGGUUCUGAGUUUUUAUGUCUGGUGAAGGAUUUUAAGUCUUCAGUAAUGCUAAGUGACUACCGCUGGUGGUGGCACUGCCAUCAGUUGCAGCGUGAAGCUUUCUUCACCUGGGCUUAAAGCAGACAAAUGAAAUUUGUCAAUAAAUUUGUGAGCAGAUAAAAACAAUAUUCCAAACCCCCAAACACAGAGAAAUAAAUCAAAUGGGCAUCUGUUAAGAUUAGGAAACUACUGAAGUUGUACCACUGUCAGCGCCAGAGAUGGGAGGAAGGGUUCUGAUGGACGUUUCAUUCCUGUCUCUUUAAUGACUACCAGAAAAUAAGCUAUGAAAGCCAUAAGACCAAAAUUAAGAACAGGCAUGACAAUUAGGCACUUCUGGCUUGCAGUAAAUGACUUGCUACUAAAACAUCCACAACAAAGCUAUUUACUAGUAUCCAAGGUUACAUCUAACACAAACUGCAUAACUAAAUGUCAGACUAAUUGUUUACGUGGAAAACGAUGUUUUCCUUUGAAUCCAAAAUGAAGGAAGUUCCAUCCGGAUUGCGUCACCAGUAUAGUAGCCUGACUGGCCAAAGGAAUAUAAAUGUACAAACAUCUUUGCUUAUUCUCUCUUUUCAUUUUUCUUCUUUUUAACUCUUAUUUUGCAUGUACUCCAGAUCUAACAAAGUGCGCUCAUUGCAAGCUCGUUCCAGGGUCAGACAUAUUGAGCAUGACUGGGCCAAUUUCCACCUCAUUACGGUAAUGUAAUUCCUCUGACUUAAGGGAGUUGCUCUUCUGCAUUCACAGUGGGGUAAUGGAAACGAGAAUGCUCUUGUCGGGAAGUAUUAUGGGGCCUCAACAGUGAUGUGGUUUCACGGAGUUUAGCCUGAAGAAAUUGAAGAAACAAAAGGAUCUAUUUAUGGCUGGAGCACUGCCUACUGCCUUGAAAAGAACAUGACCUGCUUGACCUAGUCCUUCACCUCUCAAAUAAACACUACAGUGUAUGUAAUGAUUGGCCAUUUUCUUCUGUCCUCCAUGAUUCUUCCCAGAGACUGUAUUGGAAGUUCAAGGGUCAAACAGUGCAAAGACCUAACACACAACAGUCCAGACUAUGGAAUGCUUCACAGAUAAUGCUUUACCUAUGGUGAGAUAAUCUCUACAAAGGGAGGGGUGUGUGGAGAGUGUACACUGUCUUUUGUUUAGCGUGUGUUGGGUUUUAAUUCUAAUCACAAGGACAUGGAUUGUGAUUCUGGCUUCCAGAGUCAUGUUUUUGCACCUAAAUUACCGGUAAUACUUCUUUCUAAAAAUAUACAGCAGUUAGUAAAUCAAUUUUAACUUCAUCACUGACAUUAUUUCUGUGCAAGAAAAUAACUUGUGUGAAGUGAGUCUUAUAUGUACUGUAUCCACUAAUGUGUUUGGUUUCUUAAAAUGACACUGAUCGUAUUGAAAUGCAUACAGCAAAAAUGCAAAGCAGGUUAGUAUCAGACCAAAAUCCAUUACUGAGGAACACGGAAAGCUGCUAGAAACUUAAUGGUGAGGUUUUAGGAAUGAGGACAAUUCUUUAACACUUUUCUACAUUUAAGAGCUAUCAGAUGCUGGGAACAUACACAAUUUCUGCUCUGUAUUACGUUAAAACAUUCUCUGGGAAAAAUUAUUGAAGCACAUGUUCCAAAACAAUCCGUCUGCUGGCUAUGGUGCUCAUGUUGGACAUCUUUUCGUCUACGUUACAGGAACACAGAUGGCUUUUUUCAUCAUAAGACACUUGAUUGGAAAAUGUGAACAGUUGAAAUAUUUUAAAUGCUGUCCAAAUAGAUAUUGUCUCCCAGUCCUCAUGAUUCUGUGGCACCACUAAAGAACUUAAAAUGUCCCCAUUAGAAUUCUACAACUUCUAGAAACGUAGGUACUUUGUACAACCCUGAAUUUGAAAGCUUUUUACUACAUAUAAAUGGUAGUAAUGGGCUAGUUUUACUCUAUGGGUAGCAUUCAGAAUUUAGCAUGAAUGGUGGCAGCAGAAACAGAAAACCAGCCAUCAAUAUAAAACUACUCUGUUGUGAAAAGUA
This is a non-coding RNA of Podarcis muralis (Common wall lizard), 4959 nucleotides long. NCBI's taxonomy places the organism in Eukaryota, Metazoa, Chordata, Lepidosauria, Squamata, Lacertidae. The record is from RefSeq and is a predicted model, not a curated record.